RNAcentral lists this ribosomal RNA (1124 nucleotides) under Bacteroides fragilis str. 3996 N(B) 6. Its description in RNAcentral is "bacterial SSU rRNA". It matches the Rfam family "Bacterial small subunit ribosomal RNA", at positions 8 to 1126 of the family's 1533-position model. The record is from RNAcentral. Lineage: Bacteria; Pseudomonadati; Bacteroidota; Bacteroidia; Bacteroidales; Bacteroidaceae.
AGAGUUUGAUCCUGGCUCAGGAUGAACGCUAGCUACAGGCUUAACACAUGCAAGUCGAGGGGCAUCAGGAAGAAAGCUUGCUUUCUUUGCUGGCGACCGGCGCACGGGUGAGUAACACGUAUCCAACCUGCCCUUUACUCGGGGAUAGCCUUUCGAAAGAAAGAUUAAUACCCGAUAGCAUAAUGAUUCCGCAUGGUUUCAUUAUUAAAGGAUUCCGGUAAAGGAUGGGGAUGCGUUCCAUUAGGUUGUUGGUGAGGUAACGGCCCACCAAGCCUUCGAUGGAUAGGGGUUCUGAGAGGAAGGUCCCCCACAUUGGAACUGAGACACGGUCCAAACUCCUACGGGAGGCAGCAGUGAGGAAUAUUGGUCAAUGGGCGUUAGCCUGAACCAGCCAAGUAGCGUGAAGGAUGAAGGCUCUAUGGGUCGUAAACUUCUUUUAUAUAAGAAUAAAGUGCAGUAUGUAUACUGUUUUGUAUGUAUUAUAUGAAUAAGGAUCGGCUAACUCCGUGCCAGCAGCCGCGGUAAUACGGAGGAUCCGAGCGUUAUCCGGAUUUAUUGGGUUUAAAGGGAGCGUAGGUGGACUGGUAAGUCAGUUGUGAAAGUUUGCGGCUCAACCGUAAAAUUGCAGUUGAUACUGUCAGUCUUGAGUACAGUAGAGGUGGGCGGAAUUCGUGGUGUAGCGGUGAAAUGCUUAGAUAUCACGAAGAACUCCGAUUGCGAAGGCAGCUCACUGGACUGCAACUGACACUGAUGCUCGAAAGUGUGGGUAUCAAACAGGAUUAGAUACCCUGGUAGUCCACACAGUAAACGAUGAAUACUCGCUGUUUGCGAUAUACAGUAAGCGGCCAAGCGAAAGCAUUAAGUAUUCCACCUGGGGAGUACGCCGGCAACGGUGAAACUCAAAGGAAUUGACGGGGGCCCGCACAAGCGGAGGAACAUGUGGUUUAAUUCGAUGAUACGCGAGGAACCUUACCCGGGCUUAAAUUGCAGUGGAAUGAUGUGGAAACAUGUCAGUGAGCAAUCACCACUGUGAAGGUGCUGCAUGGUUGUCGUCAGCUCGUGCCGUGAGGUGUCGGCUUAAGUGCCAUAACGAGCGCAACCCUUAUCUUUAGUUACUAACAGGU